AGGGAAAGGCGAAAAGAACCCCGGCGAGGGGAGUGAAAAAGAACCUGAAACCGUGUACGUACAAGCAGUGGGAGCCCCACCACUAAGCCAGUGGUGAACUCCACAUACGCAUCCUUUGCUGAAGGCAAUGGUUAACGGAGCGAAAGCGACGUUCAACCGCAAAACAAGCAGAGGGGGCUUAGUGGUGGGGUGACUGCGUACCUUUUGUAUAAUGGGUCAGCGACUUAUAUUCUGUAGCAAGGUUAACCGUAUAGGGGAGCCGGAGGGAAACCGAGUCUUAAUUGGGCGUUAAGUUGCAGGGUAUAGACCCGAAACCCGGUGAUCUAGCCAUGGGCAGGUUGAAGGUUGGGUAACACUAACUGGAGGACCGAACCGACUAAUGUUGAAAAAUUAGCGGAUGACCUGUGGCUGGGGGUGAAAGGCCAAUCAAACCGGGAGAUAGCUGGUUCUCCCCGAAAGCUAUUUAGGUAGCGCCUCGUGAAUUCAUCUCCGGGGGUAGAGCACUGUUUCGGCUAGGGGGCCAUCCCGGCUUACCAACCCGAUGCAAACUGCGAAUACCGGAGAAUGUUAUCACGGGAGACACACGGCGGGUGCUAACGUCCGUCGUGAAGAGGGAAACAACCCAGACCGCCAGCUAAGGUCCCAAAGUCAUGGUUAAGUGGGAAACGAUGUGGGAAGGCCCAGACAGCCAGGAUGUUGGCUUAGAAGCAGCCAUCAUUUAAAGAAAGCGUAAUAGCUCACUGGUCGAGUCGGCCUGCGCGGAAGAUGUAACGGGGCUAAACCAU
This 785-nucleotide ribosomal RNA is filed under the name Salmonella enterica. RNAcentral describes it as "partial 23S ribosomal RNA". It matches the Rfam family "Bacterial large subunit ribosomal RNA", at positions 506 to 1190 of the family's 2925-position model. Lineage: Bacteria; Pseudomonadati; Pseudomonadota; Gammaproteobacteria; Enterobacterales; Enterobacteriaceae. The record is from RNAcentral.